This 253-nucleotide ribosomal RNA is filed under the name uncultured bacterium. RNAcentral's name for it is "partial 16S ribosomal RNA". It matches the Rfam family "Bacterial small subunit ribosomal RNA", at positions 524 to 776 of the family's 1533-position model. The record is from RNAcentral.
UACGUAGGGUGCUAGCGUUGUUCGGAAUCAUUGGGCGUAAAGCGAGCGCAGGCGGUUUUGUAAGCCAGAUGUGAAAUCCCCGGGCUUAACCUGGGAAUGGCAUUUGGGACUGCAAGGCUGGAGUUUGGCAGAGGAGACUGGAAUUCCUGGUGUAGCAGUGAAAUGCGCAGAUAUCAGGAGGAACACCAAUGGCGAAGGCAGCUCGCUGGGACGGUACUGACGCUGAGACGCGAAAGCGUGGGGAGCAAACAGG